GACGAACGCUGGCGGCGUGCUUAACACAUGCAAGUCGAACGGAAAGGCCCUGCUUUUGUGGGUUGCUCGAGUGGCGAACGGGUGAGUAACACGUGAGUAACCUGCCCUUGACUUUGGGAUAACUUCAGGAAACUGGGGCUAAUACCGGAUAGGAGCUCCUGCUGCAUGGUGGGGGUUGGAAAGUUUCGGCGGUUGGGGAUGGACUCGCGGCUUAUCAGCUUGUUGGUGGGGUAGUGGCUUACCAAGGCUUUGACGGGUAGCCGGCCUGAGAGGGUGACCGGCCACAUUGGGACUGAGAUACGGACCAGACUCCUACGGGAGGCAGCAGUGGGGAAUAUUGCACAAUGGGCGGAAGCCUGAUGCAGAAACGCCGCGUGCGGGAUGACGGCCUUCGGGUUGUAAACCGCUUUCGCCUGUGACGAAGCGUGAGUGACGGUAAUGGGUAAAGAAGCACCGGCUAACUACGUG
This 468-nucleotide ribosomal RNA is filed under the name uncultured bacterium. RNAcentral's name for it is "partial 16S ribosomal RNA". It matches the Rfam family "Bacterial small subunit ribosomal RNA", at positions 28 to 507 of the family's 1533-position model. The record is from RNAcentral.